CCUACUGUGUGCUUCAGUGGGGGAUAUUGCACAAUGGGGGAAACCCUGAUGCAGCGACGCCGCGUGUGGGAAGACGGUCCUCUGGAUUGUAAACCACUGUCCCCAGGGACGAAGAUGACGGUCCCUGGGGAGGCAGCUCCGGCUAACUACGUGCCAGCAGCCGCGGUAAUACGUAUGGUGCACGCGUUAUCCGGAUUUACUGGGGGUACAGGGAGCGCAGGCGGCACGGCAAGCCUGAUGUGAAAGCCCGCGGCCCAACCGCGGGACUGCAUUGGGAACUCCCGGGCUGGCGUGCCGGAGAGGUAGGCGGAAUUCCUAGUGUAGCGGUGAAAUGCGUAGAUAUUAGGAGGAACACCAGUGGCGAAGGCGGCCUGCUGGACGACAACUGACGGUGAGGCGCGAAAGCGUGGGGAGCAAACAGGAUUAGAUACCCGUGUAGUC
This 441-nucleotide ribosomal RNA is filed under the name uncultured bacterium. RNAcentral describes it as "partial 16S ribosomal RNA". It matches the Rfam family "Bacterial small subunit ribosomal RNA", at positions 338 to 795 of the family's 1533-position model. The record is from RNAcentral.